RNAcentral lists this ribosomal RNA (244 nucleotides) under uncultured bacterium. Its description in RNAcentral is "partial 16S ribosomal RNA". It matches the Rfam family "Bacterial small subunit ribosomal RNA", at positions 15 to 253 of the family's 1533-position model. The record is from RNAcentral.
GAUCAUGGCUCAGGAUGAACGCUAGCUACAGGCUUAACACAUGCAAGUCGAGGGGCAGCAUUCUUCUAGCAAUAGAAGAGAUGGCGACCGGCGCACGGGUGAGUAACACGUAUCCAACCUACCGAUAACUCCGGAAUAGCCUUUCGAAAGAAAGAUUAAUACCGGAUAGUAUACGAAUAUCGCAUGAUAUUUUUAUUAAAGAAUUUCGGUUAUCGAUGGGGAUGCGUUCCAUUAGUUUGUUGGG